AUGAACGCUGGCGGCGUGCUUAACACAUGCAAGUCGAACGAAGUGUUUAUUCAAAGUUCUUCGGGUUAAAAAUUAAUUUCCUUAUUGCCGGACGGGUAGUUAGCCCUUGGGUACCCUCCCUCCCCCAGGGGGUUACCAUUUGGAACCGCCUCCUAUUCCCCCAUAAGCCCCCCCCACCCCAUGGUCCGGGGUUAAAAGAUUUAUCGGUGUGAGAUGGACCUGCGUCUGAUUAGAUAGUUGGUGGGGUAGAAGCCUACCAAGUCAACGAUCAGUAGCCGACCUGAGAGGGUGAUCGGCCACAUUGGGACUGAGACACGGCCCAAACUCCUACGGGAGGCAGCAGUGGGGAAUAUUGGACAAUGGGGGAAACCCUGAUCCAGCAACGCCGCGUGAGUGAAGAAGUAUUUCGGUAUGUAAAGCUCUAUCAGCAGGGAAGAAAAUGACGGUACCUGACUAAGAAGCCCCGGCUAACUACGUG
RNAcentral lists this ribosomal RNA (478 nucleotides) under uncultured bacterium. RNAcentral describes it as "partial 16S ribosomal RNA". It matches the Rfam family "Bacterial small subunit ribosomal RNA", at positions 29 to 507 of the family's 1533-position model. The record is from RNAcentral.